This 418-nucleotide ribosomal RNA is filed under the name uncultured soil bacterium. RNAcentral's name for it is "bacterial SSU rRNA". It matches the Rfam family "Bacterial small subunit ribosomal RNA", at positions 258 to 688 of the family's 1533-position model. The record is from RNAcentral.
UAAUGGCCUCCCAAGGCGACGACGGGUAGCCGGCGUGAGAGGGCGACCGCCCACACUGGGAGUGAGACACGGCCCAGACUCCUACGGGAGGCAGCAGUGGGGAGUCUUGCGCAAUGGGCGAAAGCCUGACGCAGCAACGCCGCGUAGGGGAUGAAGGCCUCCGGGUGGUAAACACCUUUCAGCAGGGACGAAGCGAAAGUGACGGUACCUCCAGAAGAAGCGCCGCCUAAUUACGUGCCAGCAGCCGCGGUAACACGUAGGGCGCGAGCGUUGUCCGCAAUUAUUGGGCGUAAAAAGCUGGUAGGUGGUCCGCCACGUCCGCUGUGAAAACCCAGGGCUUAACCCUGGGCUUCCAGUGGAUACGGGCAGACUAGAGGUAGGUAGGGGAGAAUGGAAUUCCCGGUGUAGCGGUGAAAUG